CAGUAGCCGCGGUAAUACGAAGGGGGCUAGCGUUGUUCGGAUUUACUGGGCGUAAAGCGCACGUAGGCGGAUCGAUCAGUCAGGGGUGAAAUCCCAGAGCUCAACUCUGGAACUGCCUUUGAUACUGUCGAUCUGGAGUAUGGAAGAGGUGAGUGGAAUUCCGAGUGUAGAGGUGAAAUUCGUAGAUAUUCGGAGGAACACCAGUGGCGAAGGCGGCUCACUGGUCCAUUACUGACGCUGAGGUGCGAAAGCGUGGGGAGCAAACAGGAUUAGAGACCCGAGUAGUCCCUGUCUCUUAUAC
Molecule: ribosomal RNA, 301 nt
Filed under: uncultured bacterium
Lineage: Bacteria
Description: partial 16S ribosomal RNA
Rfam family: Bacterial small subunit ribosomal RNA
Source: RNAcentral